GAUGAACGCUAGCGGCAGGCCUAACACAUGCAAGUCGAGGGGUAACGGGGAGCUUGCUCCGCCGACGACCGGCGCACGGGUGCGUAACGCGUAUACAACCUACCUUUUGCUAUUGGAUAGCCCAGAGAAAUUUGGAUUAACACAAUAUAGUACCGUAUCACCGCAUGGUGUUUACGGUUAAAGGCUACGGCAAAAGAUGGGUAUGCGUCCUAUUAGCUAGAUGGUGUGGUAACGGCACACCAAGGCAACGAUAGGUAGGGGCCCUGAGAGGGGGAUCCCCCACACUGGUACUGAGACACGGACCAGACUCCUACGGGAGGCAGCAGUGAGGAAUAUUGGACAAUGGAGGCAACUCUGAUCCAGCCAUGCCGCGUGCAGGAAGACUGCCCUAUGGGUUGUAAACUGCUUUUAUACGGGAAGAAACCCUCCUACGUGUAGGAACUUGACGGUACCGUAAGAAUAAGCAUCGGCUAACUCCGUGCCAGCAGCCGCGGUAAUACGGAGGAUGCAAGCGUUAUCCGGAAUCAUUGGGUUUAAAGGGUCCGUAGGCGGACGAUUAAGUCAGGGGUGAAAGUUUGCAGCUCAACUGUAAAAUUGCCCUUGAUACUGGUUGUCUUGAAUUACUGUGAAGUGGUUAGAAUAUGUGGUGUAGCGGUGAAAUGCAUAGAUAUUACAUAGAAUACCAAUUGCGAAGGCAGAUCACUAACAGUAUAUUGACGCUGAGGGACGAAAGCGUGGGGAGCGAACAGGAUUAGAUCCCCUGGUAGUCCACGCCGUAAACGAUGGAUACUAGCUGUUGGACUUUAUUUCAGUGGCUAAGCGAAAGUGAUAAGUAACCCACCUGGGGAGUACGUUCGCAAGAAUGAAACUCAAAGGAAUUGACGGGGGCCCGCACAAGCGGUGGAGCAUGUGGUUUAAUUCGAUGAUACGCGAGGAACCUUACCAGGGCUUAAAUGUAAGUUGCAUGAUUUAGAGAUAGAUCUUUCUUCGGACUACUUACAAGGUGCUGCAUGGUUGUCGUCAGCUCGUGCCGUGAGGUGUCAGGUUAAGUCCUAUAACGAGCGCAACCCCUGUUGUUAGUUGCCAGCGAGUCAUGUCGGGAACUCUAACAAAACUGCCAGUGCAAACUGUGAGGAAGGUGGGGAUGACGUCAAAUCAUCACGGCCCUUACUUCCUGGGCUACACACGUGCUACAAUGGUAGGUACAGAGAGCAGCCACUUCGCGAGAAGGAGCAAAUCUAUAAAACCUAUCACAGUUCGGAUUGGAGUCUGCAACUCGACUCCAUGAAGCUGGAAUCGCUAGUAAUCGAAUAUCAGCCAUGAUUCGGUGAAUACGUUCCCGGGCCUUGUACACACCGCCCGUCAAGCCAUGGAAGCUGGGAGUGCCUGAAGUCCGUCACCGUAAGGAGCGGCCUAGGGUAAAAUCGGUAACUAGGGCUAAG
This 1442-nucleotide ribosomal RNA is filed under the name uncultured prokaryote. RNAcentral's name for it is "partial 16S ribosomal RNA". It matches the Rfam family "Bacterial small subunit ribosomal RNA". The record is from RNAcentral.